Molecule: long non-coding RNA, 1500 nt
Organism: Leptinotarsa decemlineata (Colorado potato beetle)
Lineage: Eukaryota; Metazoa; Arthropoda; Insecta; Coleoptera; Chrysomelidae
Source: RefSeq, a predicted model, not a curated record
UGAUUCAACUCAGAUUUUGCUUUAUUUCUAUUCUCUUCUGAAACGUAGUGAAUGAAUAUUUUUUUCAAGUUGAGCACUCUACAUUAUAAUAAAUUUCAAGAUGAUGUUGAACUGUUGAUGAGGUUAGGUUUAGUCAAUGUUGAAUUAAAUUAAUGGACAUAUUGCUUCCAGGACUACGUUCACCAAAUCUUUGGCAACUUUUUUAUGUUUGUCAUUACUUCUUUGAUCAUUAAAAAACUUUGAUUUCUUUCAAAAGCAAAUCAUUGCCUUUGAAAGAGCAUGUUUAUAGUGAUCGAUUGGAAUAUUCAAAUCAUGUACUGAUAAAAAAAUCAGCACUGGUUCCCAAUAAAUAGUGAAGAGUCCAAUUAGUCUUGUCGUUUCAACCAAUUUCACCUACAAAUUAAAUAAUGGAUGGAAAAAUGAAAUCUGCGUAGCGAAAUUGGUGAAGUAUUUUCAAAACUAAUCAGCUAUUGCAGAGUAAAGAAACAGCUGAAAAAAUAAAAGAUGGAAUGAUAUUUCAAGAAAUCAUUGAUGCUGGUUUGGAGUUUUUGAACUCUUUGGAAAUUGAAACACAACAAAAAUCAAGUUGGAAUUGUCUCCUACUGGAUAUCCAUUUCUCAGCGUAUUCUUGACGAUAAAAUGCUUGUUGAAUUGAUAAUUUCAGAAUUUCCUUAUUUUUUUCAUGUUAACAAUUUCAACAUUCGGGAUAACUUUCAAACUGAUAUUUUUUUACCCACUGAAUUUUUUUCUUUAAUUAGUCAAUACGCAGAUUGAAUUGUAUAAUAUUGAAUAUAAACAAAUUGUUACUUGAUUAUCAAAUUUAUUUUGCAAUGAUGAUCCGUUAUGAUUUAUACAUACAUAUAUAAUUAUUAUAUACAUAAAUAUCAUAUAUAUUAUGUAUAAGUAAUGGCGAUACUGCAAUUUUUUCAUCGAAUUGAUAUGGUAUCGCUCAGUUCAAUGUCCUUCUUUGCCCUGUAUAAACAAACAUAUUCUCGGGAUAUGUUUUUGAUCAAUGAUAUAACUUUUAUCCAAAAGUUUUUUCAUAUUUCGGCUAAUAACGGUUCUGUUGGACUUCCUGUAUAUUGUAACUGAAGAUCUAGAAAAUAUUUUCUGCAAACUUUAUGUUUUCAAGACCCUCAUCAUCAGUUUAUGUUCUGCUUAAUGUUUUGACAUACCCUUUGUUUUGUUGAAUUUUUGUUUGGAACUUUUACACAGAAUAAAAUACAAAUUUUGUGGUGGAAAUAUGUCGGAUAUCAAAUAUGAAAUAAAGUUAAUGGUAAAUUCCUCAAAUGUAAUUGAGAUGACAAUUAGAAUAAUAUGAAAACAUAUCAAUUUAAUCGAAAGAGUAUGACUAUGUCAAUUUCGUAAUUAUUUUCAAUUAUGUUCCGAUCAAUAUUUUUCUUCUUCACAGGAUGAAGAACCUUUAUGAGAUAAUAUGCGUUAUCUUCUAGUGAAAAGGAAUUGGAAGAAAUUUGCGAGUGAAAUAAAUGUUUGAGCGUA